This 398-nucleotide ribosomal RNA is filed under the name uncultured bacterium. RNAcentral describes it as "partial 16S ribosomal RNA". It matches the Rfam family "Bacterial small subunit ribosomal RNA", at positions 360 to 775 of the family's 1533-position model. The record is from RNAcentral.
AAUAUUGGACAAUGGGCGAAAGCCUGAUCCAGCCAUGCCGCGCGAGUGAUGAAGGCCUUAGGGUUGUAAAGCUCUUUCAGUAGGGAAGAUAAUGACGGUACCUACAGAAGAAGCCCCGGCUAACUUCGUGCCAGCAGCCGGGGUAAUACGAAGGGGGCUAGCGUUGUUCGGAUUUACUGGGCGGAAAGCGGAAGUAGGCGGAUUGGUCAGUAAGGAGUGAAAUCCCGAAGCGCAACUUCGGAACUGCCUUUAAUACUGCCAGUCGCGAGUCCGGAAGAGGUAAGUGGAACUCCUAGUGUAGAGGUAGAAUUCGUAGAUAUUAGGAAGAACACCAGUGGCGAAGGCGGCUUACUGGUCCGGAACUGACGCUGAGGUGCGAAAGCGUGGGGAGCAAACAG